GACGAACGCUGGCGGCGUGCCUAAUACAUGCAAGUAGAACGCUGAAGAGAGGAGCUUACUCUUCUUGGAUGAGUUACGAACGGGUGAGUAACGCGUAGGUAACCUGCCUUGUAGCGGGGGAUAACUAUUGGAAACGAUAGCUAAUACCGCAUAACAAUGGAUGACACAUGUCAUUUAUUUGAAAGGGGCAAUUGCUCCACUACAAGAUGGACCUGCGUUGUAUUAGCUAGAAGGUGAGGUAAUGGCUCACCUAGGCGACGAUACAUAGCCGACCUGAGAGGGUGAUCGGCCACACUGGGACUGAGACACGGCCCAGACUCCUACGGGAGGCAGCAGUAGGGAAUCUUCGGCAAUGGGGGCAACCCUGACCGAGCAACGCCGCGUGAGUGAAGAAGGUUUUCGGAUCGUAAAGCUCUGUUGUAAGUCAAGAACGGGUGUGAGAGUGGAAAGUUCACACUGUGACGGUAGCUUACCAGAAAGGGACGGCUAACUACGUG
This 497-nucleotide ribosomal RNA is filed under the name uncultured bacterium. Its description in RNAcentral is "partial 16S ribosomal RNA". It matches the Rfam family "Bacterial small subunit ribosomal RNA", at positions 28 to 507 of the family's 1533-position model. The record is from RNAcentral.